GACGAACGCUGGCGGCGUGCUUAACACAUGCAAGUCGAACGGAAAGGCCCUGCUUUUGUGGGGUGCUCGAGUGGCGAACGGGUGAGUAACACGUGAGUAACCUGCCCUUGACUUUGGGAUAACUUCAGGAAACUGGGGCUAAUACCGGAUAGGAGCUCCUGCUGCAUGGUGGGGGUUGGAAAGUUUCGGCGGUUGGGGAUGGACUCGCGGCUUAUCAGCUUGUUGGUGGGGUAGUGGCUUACCAAGGCUUUGACGGGUAGCCGGCCUGAGAGGGUGACCGGCCACAUUGGGACUGAGAGACGGCCCAGACUCCUACGGAAGGCAGCAGUGGGGAAUAUUGCACAAUGGGCGGAAGCCUGAUGCAGCAACGCCGCGUGCGGGAUGACGGCCUUCGGGUUGUAAACCGCUUUCGCCUGUGACGAAGCGUGAGUGACGGUAAUGGGUAAAGAAGCACCGGCUAACUACGU
RNAcentral lists this ribosomal RNA (467 nucleotides) under uncultured bacterium. RNAcentral's name for it is "partial 16S ribosomal RNA". It matches the Rfam family "Bacterial small subunit ribosomal RNA", at positions 28 to 506 of the family's 1533-position model. The record is from RNAcentral.